RNAcentral lists this ribosomal RNA (337 nucleotides) under uncultured bacterium. RNAcentral's name for it is "bacterial SSU rRNA". It matches the Rfam family "Bacterial small subunit ribosomal RNA", at positions 8 to 344 of the family's 1533-position model. The record is from RNAcentral.
AGAGUUUGAUCCUGGCUCAGGAUGAACGCUGGCGGCGUGCUUAACACAUGCAAGUCGAACGAUUAAAGCCCCUUCGGGGGUGUAUAGAGUGGCGAACGGGUGAGUAACACGUGGGUAACCUGCCCCUCACACUGGGAUAACCCUUGGAAACGAGGGCUAAUACCGGAUACUCCGGGACUGUCGCAUGGCAGACCCGGGAAAGCUCCGACGGUGAGGGAUGGACCCGCGGCCCAUUAGCUAGUUGGUGAGGUAAUGGCCCACCAAGGCAACGAUGGGUAGCCGAGCUGAGAGGCUGAUCGGCCACACUGGGACUGAGACACGGCCCAGACUCCUACGG